Molecule: ribosomal RNA, 421 nt
Filed under: uncultured bacterium
Lineage: Bacteria
Description: bacterial SSU rRNA
Rfam family: Bacterial small subunit ribosomal RNA
Source: RNAcentral
AGAGUUUGAUCCUGGCUCAGAUUGAACGCUGGCGGUAUGCUUAACACAUGCAAGUCGAACGGCAGCAUGUUAUGUAGCAAUACAUGAUGAUGGCAAGUGGCGGACGGGUGAGUAACGCGUAGGAAUCUGCCUUAAAGAGGGGGACAACCCGAGGAAACUCGGGCUAAUACCGCAUAAUCUCGAGAGAGAAAAGCUGGGUAGCAAUACCUGGCGCUUUAAGAGGAGCCUGCGUCUGAUUAGCUAGUUGGUAGGGUAAAGGCCUACCAAGGCGAUGAUCGGUAGCUGGUCUGAGAGGAUGACCAGCCACACUGGGACUGAGACACGGCCCAGACUCCUACGGGAGGCAGCAGUGGGGAAUAUUGGACAAUGGGGGGAACCCUGAUCCAGCAAUACCGCGUGUGCGAAGAAGGCCUUAGGGUUG